RNAcentral lists this ribosomal RNA (460 nucleotides) under uncultured bacterium. RNAcentral's name for it is "partial 16S ribosomal RNA". It matches the Rfam family "Bacterial small subunit ribosomal RNA", at positions 338 to 795 of the family's 1533-position model. The record is from RNAcentral.
CCUACGGGAGGCAGCAGUGAGGAAUAUUGGUCAAUGGACGAGAGUCUGAACCAGCCAAGUAGCGUGAAGGAUGACUGCCCGAUGGGUUGUAAACUUCUUUUAUAUGGGAAUAAAAUGUUCCACGUGUGGGAUUUUGUAUGUACCAUAUGAAUAAGGAUCGGCUAACUCCGUGCCAGCAGCCGCGGUAAUACGGAGGAUCCGAGCGUUAUCCGGAUUUAUUGGGUUUAAAGGGAGCGUAGGUGGAUUGUUAAGUCAGUUGUGACAGUUUGCGGCUCAACCGUAAAAUUGCCGUUGAAACUGGCAGUCUUUAUUACAGUAGAGGUGGGCGGACUUCGUGGUGUAGCGGUGACAUGCUUAGAUAUCACGAAGAACUCCGAUUGCGAAGGCAGCUCACUGGACUGCAACUGACACUGAGGCUCGAACGUGUGGGUAUCAAACAGGAUUAGAUACCCUUGUAGUC